UACGUAGGGCGCAAGCGUUGUCCGGAAUUAUUGGGCGUAAAGAGCUCGUAGGCGGCCUGUUACGUCUGCUGUGAAAUCCCGGGGCUUAACCCCGGGCGUGCAGUGGAUACGGGCAGGCUGGAGGCAGGCAGGGGAGAACGGAAUUCCCGGUGUAGCGGUGAAAUGCGCAGAUAUCGGGAGGAACACCGGUGGCGAAGGCGGUUCUCUGGCCUGUACUGACGCUGAGGAGCGAAGCGUGGGGAGCGAACAGAU
RNAcentral lists this ribosomal RNA (252 nucleotides) under uncultured bacterium. RNAcentral describes it as "partial 16S ribosomal RNA". It matches the Rfam family "Bacterial small subunit ribosomal RNA", at positions 524 to 777 of the family's 1533-position model. The record is from RNAcentral.